This 492-nucleotide ribosomal RNA is filed under the name uncultured bacterium. RNAcentral's name for it is "partial 16S ribosomal RNA". It matches the Rfam family "Bacterial small subunit ribosomal RNA", at positions 29 to 507 of the family's 1533-position model. The record is from RNAcentral.
AGUGAACGCUGGCGGUAGGCCUAACACAUGCAAGUCGAACGGCAGCACAGUAAGAGCUUGCUCUUACGGGUGGCGAGUGGCGGACGGGUGAGGAAUACAUCGGAAUCUACUUUUUCGUGGGGGAUAACGUAGGGAAACUUACGCUAAUACCGCAUACGACCUACGGGUGAAAGCAGGGGAUCUUCGGACCUUGCGCGAUUGAAUGAGCCGAUGUCGGAUUAGCUAGUUGGCGGGGUAAAGGCCCACCAAGGCGACGAUCCGUAGCUGGUCUGAGAGGAUGAUCAGCCACACUGGAACUGAGACACGGUCCAGACUCCUACGUGAGGCAGCAGUGGGGAAUAUUGGACAAUGGGCGCAAGCCUGAUCCAGCCAUACCGCGUGGGUGAAGAAGGCCUUCGGGUUGUAAAGCCCUUUUGUUGGGAAGGAAAAGCAGCAGGUUAAUACCCCGCUGUUCUGACGGUACCCAAAGAAUAAGCACCGGCUAACUUCGUG